CAGGUUUGAGGACCAGAGGAGACUCCGGUGGCACAAACACUGAGGUUUCUGUGUAUGAAAACCAGGCUGUGGCCUAUGAGAACCUGCCUCCAGCCUCCACACAUGAAGGGUCCACCUACAUGAGCCUCCACCCAGCCACCAGGGACCAGGACCAGAUCUACUCCACACUCACACAGACACAGUAAUAGCCACGGCCAGAGCCAUUGUGUUCUCAGCUCGUCCGUCUGACCCAUUCUGUGAACGCGGUGUCAGGAACACAGUGUUGGAACUUUGGAUUUGGUAGAAACGUGCACUUGGACUCAAGUAUGAACUGAUUACAUCAUUGUGGUCAAAGUCAUUGACAUCACAUCUGACUCGUUUUUGUGAAUCUGAUUGGUUGGCAGAGACACAAUUGUGAAGCUGUAGUUUUGUUUAGUUUUUCAUUUGACGAGCUCUCGAUUUGCUUGUUUUGAUUUUAUGUACAUGAAUUGAGUUUCUUUUUUACAUGCUACUCUGUUUUUAAUAAUAUCUAUCAUAAUAAAUCACGUGACACUUUUUAAAAUCACAUAUAAAGCAGUUACAAGAUGCAGUGUGUGAAAAAUAAAACAAUAUAGUCAGUAAAACAAUUCAGCCUCAACUUAUCAAUAGAAACAAAUCGAGACUGAAUUCUUCUUCCACCUUCAUCUUUACUUGGAUGUAU
Monopterus albus (swamp eel) is the source of this 679-nucleotide long non-coding RNA. RefSeq lists it as uncharacterized. NCBI's taxonomy places the organism in Eukaryota, Metazoa, Chordata, Actinopteri, Synbranchiformes, Synbranchidae. The record is from RefSeq and is a predicted model, not a curated record. The transcript has 3 exons.